UCCUCACAAAUGUAACAACCUUAAUGGUGACAUUUGCAGUGAAAUGUGAGGGGAUGGUCAUUCCUGCUGUGUGCCUCCAAUUCUGGUGCUAUUUCCAGGCGAGGACAAGAGGAUGAUCUUUGCAUUUUGCUCUGCUGCACAGGUGACACAGAAGGCCCAGGCUGUAGAACUGCUGGUUGUUUAAUCAGGAGAUCAGGAGACUCAGGGGGAGCCUUGCUGUUCUCUACAGCUCCCUGAAAGGAGGCUGCAGCCAGGUGGGAGCUGGUCUCUCCUCCCAGUAUUCACAGAACUGACUGUAGGAGCAAACUUUCUCUCUCCACACAUGAAGUGGAAAACUGUAGCCUGCUCUGCACUCCUGUCACACCCCAGCAGCUGGAAAACUGUUUUAGGUGAAGUGAUUUCUACAAUCUGUAGUUAACUUGAGCUGCAUUUGGAAACAUGGUGAUCGAUUAAGGAAUUCAAUGUUAAAUAGUCAGGUGAUAGAGCUGUGACCUGCUUUCAUAAAGCAGUGUCAAAACAAAUUUUUGUCCCAAAUGUUCAGAUGUUCUGUGUUUCAAUAAGUUGAUUUUAUUACCUGCCUUAUGUUAAAAUGAGUUUUACACCACCUAACAACUUCUUCAAAAGUAAAGUAAAAGUUAGGAUUUUGAAAUAAAGAAAUU
Molecule: long non-coding RNA, 659 nt
Organism: Cyanistes caeruleus (blue tit)
Lineage: Eukaryota; Metazoa; Chordata; Aves; Passeriformes; Paridae
Source: RefSeq, a predicted model, not a curated record